This 475-nucleotide ribosomal RNA is filed under the name uncultured bacterium. RNAcentral describes it as "bacterial SSU rRNA". It matches the Rfam family "Bacterial small subunit ribosomal RNA", at positions 28 to 507 of the family's 1533-position model. The record is from RNAcentral.
GAUGAACGCUAGCGGCAGGCUUAAUACAUGCAAGUCGAGGGGCAUCAAGGUACACGAAAGUGUAUUGUUGGCGACCGGCGGACGGGUGAGUAAUAGGUAGGUAACCUACCUCAUACUGAGGCAUAGCUGGGAGAAAUUCCAGGUAAUUCCUCAAUGAGGUUAUAUGACACAUGUGAUAUAAUCAAAGGUAUCGCAAGGUACUGGUAUGAGAUGGGCUUACUGACCAUUAGCUAGUUGGUGAGAUAAGAGCUCACCAAGGCGAAGAUGGUUAGGGGUUUUGAGAGAGAGAUCCCCCACAUUGGAACUGAGAUACGGUCCAGACUCCUACGGGAGGCAGCAGUGGGGAAUAUUGCACAAUGGGGGAAACCCUGAUGCAGCGACGCCGCGUGAGCGAAGAAGGCCUUCGGGUCGUAAAGCUCUGUCCUAAGGGAAGAAACGGACGGUACCUUAGGAGGAAGCCCCGGCUAACUACGUG